Molecule: ribosomal RNA, 468 nt
Filed under: uncultured bacterium
Lineage: Bacteria
Description: partial 16S ribosomal RNA
Rfam family: Bacterial small subunit ribosomal RNA
Source: RNAcentral
GACGAACGCUGGCGGCGCGCUUAACACAUGCAAGUCGAACGGAAAGGCCCUGCUUUUGUGGGGUGCUCGAGUGGCGAAAGGGUGAGUAACACGUGAGUAACCUGCCCUUGACUUUGGGAUAACUUCAGGAAACUGGGGCUAAUACCGGAUAGGAGCGCCUGCUGCAUGGUGGGGGUUGGAAAGUUUCGGCGGUUGGGGAUGGACUCGCGGCUUAUCAGCUUGUUGGUGGGGUAGUGGCUUACCAAGGCUUUGACGGGUAGCCGGCCUGAGAGGGUGACCGGCCACAUUGGGACUGAGAUACGGCCCAGACUCCUACGGGAGGCAGCAGUGGGGAAUAUUGCACAAUGGGCGGAAGCCUGAUGCAGCAACGCCGCGUGCGGGAUGACGGCCUUCGUGUUGUAAACCGCUUUCGCCUGUGACGAAGCGUGAGUGACGGUAAUGGGUAAAGAAGCACCGGCUAACUACGUG